GUGUGGACUCGGCGUGUCAAAGGGAACCCGGAUUUUAGCUCCAGCUCUGUGGUUCUUAUUUUUGGGGAGAAAUUGCUCACUGAACCUAGCAUGAGAUUGGCUGGCAGCUGAUUCCCCGGGGAUGUGCCCGUCAUUAUGCAACUGUGCUGGCAUUAUUGAUGAUCAUACCAUGCUUUGUUUAUUAAACCCUGUAGGAAUUAUGAAGAGGAGGCUCCACCCACUUCUAAGAUCAUGAAAAGACAGAGCAAAAAGAAGUGCAAUUCCAUCUCUGCCCAACUGGUGGUACAGUACUCUCCGUGCAUGUAACUCUUUCAGUCCUUGCCACCAUUUCUCAGACCACUGCCAGGAAAUCUUCCCCUCACAGAUGAAAAAAUGUCCAUGAGGUGAUGCAAUCUGUCCAGAAUCACACAGCCAGUCGGUGUCAGAGUCUGUGGAGAAAAAGUGAAAUUCCUCUUUUGGUCCCUUUUCUAAUCCUUGCUGCAGAGUAACCUGCUCGUACCCGCACAUCGCACAUUGUGCAGGGUCUGGUUUGUAUGCAUUGGUGCUACAAGUGCCUGUUCUCUUCCUACGCCUUCCAAGGAGGUCAUGUUCUGCAACUCGCUUUUCCUACUUAGCCCCAAACUUAGAAUCUUUACCAUUUGGGUUUUGGUUGAUUUGAUGGUUGAUUGAUUUUUGUUGUUUUUCAAAACAGGGUUUCUCUGUGUAGGGUUUCCCUGGCUGUCCUGGAACAGCUUCUGUAGACCAGGCUGGCCUCCAACUCAGAUAUUCGCCUGCCUCUACCUCCUAAGUGCUAAGACUAAAGGUGUGCGCCACCUCACCCACAUCAGCCCCUAUCAUCUUUAAGAUGGGUAAAGUGAUAGCAGCCAGUGAAUAGGGUUGAAAUGAGACCUGCGUGUGAAGCAAACAGGAAGGGUCUCAUAAGCAUGGAGGUAUCUAUUCACAACCCACAUACUAAGAAGUACUGGAUGGCAAAUUAAAAGGUAUCAAUCUGGGGAAAGAUGGCUCAGCGGGUAAGAACACUGACUGCCCUUCCACAGGGUCCCGAGUUCAACUUCCAGCAACAUGGUGACUCAAACCAUCUGUGUAGCCUCCCCCAGCUUGAGCAGGAUGAUUCAGACCUAUGCUGCCACUGUGAAUGAGACCAUUUGGGGUGGAGCCUUCCGACCUAGAUGGUUCUAUUGCUCUGUCACCUGUGGCUGCUCUUCUCCAAGACACUGCUACCUGCUGAGAGGCUGAACCUGCCUUCCUGAGACAGCCAGCAACCUGGCAAUUGACACCUUACUGCCAACUAGUGCUGUCAGCCUAAUUGCUUACAGGCUGGCGACAGGCAUCAAGAGUGGGUCUGCAGGGGAUGGGCUUUCCCCCUUUAUAAGCACAGACUCUUAGUAAACAUUGGGCUUUGAUC
Molecule: long non-coding RNA, 1405 nt
Filed under: Mus spretus (western wild mouse)
Lineage: Eukaryota; Metazoa; Chordata; Mammalia; Rodentia; Muridae
Description: RIKEN cDNA 2310005A03 gene (ENSMSPG00010037818.1)
Source: RNAcentral